UACGGAGGAUCCAAGCGUUAUCCGGAUUUAUUGGGUUUAAAGGGUGCGUAGGCGGCCUGUUAAGUCAGGGGUGAAAGACGGUGGCUCAACCAUCGCAGUGCCCUUGAUACUGAUGGGCUUGAUUACACUUGAGGUAGGCGGAAUGUGACAAGUAGCGGUGAAAUGCAUAGAUAUGUCACAGAACACCAAUUGCGAAGGCAGCUUACUAAGGUGUCAAUGACGCUGAGGCACGAAAGCGUGGGGAUCAAACAGG
Molecule: ribosomal RNA, 253 nt
Filed under: uncultured bacterium
Lineage: Bacteria
Description: partial 16S ribosomal RNA
Rfam family: Bacterial small subunit ribosomal RNA
Source: RNAcentral